Molecule: long non-coding RNA, 1074 nt
Organism: Arabidopsis lyrata subsp. lyrata
Lineage: Eukaryota; Viridiplantae; Streptophyta; Magnoliopsida; Brassicales; Brassicaceae
Exons: 2
Source: RefSeq, a predicted model, not a curated record
UGUGUUCAUAAUUUCUCUACAGCUCAAAGUGGUUGGGAAGAAGAUAAAUGAUAUCUUGAGUGUCCACGUGACAAAAUAGUCCACGUGUCACCCUAUUGCUAUCCCGAUUCACUCCGUUCGACUCCACCAUCUCCGAUUGAACCUACCGAUGCGGUUUGAUCUGUAAUUAGAUUUUGGUUGACAUUGUUGGUGAAGCACACCAAAUUCUUGCUUGAUCCAUCAGAGAAUGAAGUUGGUGAUCGGAUAAUUGCAUUAUUGCAACAGGGGACGAUAUUUGACAACUUGCAGCGACAGCACCAAACUUAAAAUAUUCUCCAGGCAGCUACUAGACUUGGUAUAGCUUCUUCUAGAUCAGCUCUGGCAAAGAGAAGUGCUUCAAGAACUCAUUGACAGGGCAGUGAAAGAGAAGAAAAUCGGAAGGAGUCAAUUUGUGGCUUACCUCUUGCAUAUCAUGAGAAAAUACUCCAGUCUAUUCUGCAGUGAAAUUUUGGACACCAUGUUCCCUCACUGGUCUAUAAGCCCAUGGAGAGUAGGGAUUCAGGAGAGAUGCCCAUUCCACCAGAAGUACUGAGGUGUCAUUAUUGCCUCUGGACAGACUUAAUGAACGGGUUUGUAUUGGGAUUGGUUCAGUGAUGAACAACUCUUUGCCCCAAGACUCAGCAGCAACUCUGUGUUAUGUUCUAAUUGACACUCAGGGUGCCUUUAAAGCCUUGCUCCAAGAUUCAUGAUUCAAUUUGGUUUGUUAGCUUGAACAGGUUUCGGGUAAAUCAGUUACUCUUGAGAGAACUGGGACUAGUGACAGGACAUGAGAUGCUGACAAUUUGGAGAAAUGUGGUGGUUGUAGCUGCUCCAUCAUACCGUUGCCUCUUGGUCUCUGCUUGGAUGGUCAACCUCACAUUUCAGUGAAUCUAAUCAUUAUUCUUUGUUAUUGAGAACACAGAAAAGGCUCUUUUUGGAUAACCAUGCCCUGUUAUUAGCGGCUACCACUAGUCCAAAAGUAACAUACAGUACAACAAUUUGACUGCUAACAACAGAGUAAAAUCGGAGGAACAUAUGGUCCCUCUAAUUCUCAGA